This 497-nucleotide ribosomal RNA is filed under the name uncultured bacterium. RNAcentral describes it as "partial 16S ribosomal RNA". It matches the Rfam family "Bacterial small subunit ribosomal RNA", at positions 28 to 507 of the family's 1533-position model. The record is from RNAcentral.
GAUGAACGCUGGCGGCGUGCCUAACACAUGCAAGUCGAACGGAAAGACGAUGAGCUUGUUCCCCUGACGUUGGCGGCGGACGGGUGAGUAACACGUGGAUCACCUACCUAUUAGUCUGGGAUAAUUACGGGAAACCGGAUCUAAUAACAGAUCAUAUAUUGUACCGGAGAGAGCAAUAGUGAAACGCGCCUUUGCUGUCUGUAUUAGCUGGUUCCGCGCCGGAUUAGCUAGUUGGUAAGGUAACGGCCUACCAAGGCUACGAUGCGUAGCCGACCUGAGAGGGUGAUCGGCCACACUGGAACUGAGACACGGUCCAGACUCCUACGGGAGGCAGCAGUAGGGAAUCUUGGGCAAUGGGCGAAAGCCUGACGCAGCAACACCGCGUGAGUGAUGAAGGUCUUCGGAUCGUAAAGCUCUGUUGUUAGGAAAGAACAACUGUAGAUUUAACCAUGCACGUCUUGACGGUACCUAAACAAUAAGCCACGGCUAACUUCGUG